Molecule: ribosomal RNA, 497 nt
Filed under: uncultured bacterium
Lineage: Bacteria
Description: partial 16S ribosomal RNA
Rfam family: Bacterial small subunit ribosomal RNA
Source: RNAcentral
GAUGAACGCUGGCGGCGUGCCUAAUACAUGCAAGUCGAGCGAACAGAUGAGGAGCUUGCUCCUCUGACGUUAGCGGCGGACGGGUGAGUAACACGUGGAUAACCUACCUAUAAGACUGGGAUAACUUCGGGAAACCGGAGCUAAUACCGGAUAAUAUAUUGAACCGCAUGGUUCAAUAGUGAAAGACGGUUUUGCUGUCACUUAUAGAUGGAUCCGCGCCGCAUUAGCUAGUUGGUAAGGUAACGGCUUACCAAGGCAACGAUUCGUAGCCGACCUGAGAGGGUGAUCGGCCACACUGGAACUGAGACACGGUCCAGACUCCUACGGGAGGCAGCAGUAGGGAAUCUUCCGCAAUGGGCGAAAGCCUGACGGAGCAACGCCGCGUGAGUGAUGAAGGUCUUCGGAUCGUAAAACUCUGUUAUUAGGGAAGAACAAAUGUGUAAGUAACUAUGCACGUCUUGACGGUACCUAAUCAGAAAGCCACGGCUAACUACGUG